RNAcentral lists this unclassified non-coding RNA (251 nucleotides) under uncultured Pseudomonadota bacterium. Its description in RNAcentral is "uncultured proteobacterium partial 16S-23S ribosomal RNA intergenic spacer". The stretch from base 100 to 173 matches the Rfam family "tRNA". Lineage: Bacteria; Pseudomonadati; Pseudomonadota. The record is from RNAcentral.
UUGCGGCUGGAUCACCUCCUUUCUCGAGCUAUGCGUUUUUAGUGUUGAGCGCUCACGCUUAUCGGCUGUAGAUAAAGACAGAAAUCCAGGCAGGCUCAGGGGUCUGUAGCUCAGUCGGUUAGAGCACCGUCUUGAUAAGGCGGGGGUCGAUGGUUCGAAUCCAUCCAGACCCACCAAAGUCUUGUCUGGUGUGCUGACCGGUGAGGCCUCAGGGAGUGCCGGGAAGUGAUGUCUGUGACUGGGGGAUUAGC